RNAcentral lists this ribosomal RNA (433 nucleotides) under uncultured bacterium. RNAcentral's name for it is "partial 16S ribosomal RNA". It matches the Rfam family "Bacterial small subunit ribosomal RNA", at positions 29 to 507 of the family's 1533-position model. The record is from RNAcentral.
AACGAACGCUGGCGGCAUGCCUAACACAUGCAAGUCGAACGAGACCUUCGGGUCUAGUGGCGCACGGGUGCGUAACGCGUGGGAACCUGCCCUUAGGUUCGGAAUAACUCAGAGAAAUUUGAGCUAAUACCGGAUGAUGUCUUCGGACCAAAGAUUUAUCGCCUUUCGAUGGGCCCGCGUUGGAUUAGCUUGUUGUGGGGGUAAAGGCCGACCAAGGCGCCGAUUCAUAGCUGGUCUGAGAGGAUGAUCAGCCACUCUUAGACUGAGACGCGGCCCAGACUCCUACGCGAUGCAGCAAUGGGUAAUAGUGCACAAUGGGCUAAGGCCUGAUCCAGCACUGCCCGGUAAGUGAUGAAAGCCUUAGGGUUGUAAAGCUCUAUUACCCGUGCUCAUAUUGACAGUAUCGGGAGAAUAAGCUCCGGCUAACUCCGUG